Molecule: ribosomal RNA, 253 nt
Filed under: uncultured bacterium
Lineage: Bacteria
Description: partial 16S ribosomal RNA
Rfam family: Bacterial small subunit ribosomal RNA
Source: RNAcentral
UACAGGGGGUGCAAACGUUGCUCGGAAUCAUUGGGCGUAAAGAGCUCGUAGGCGGUCUGUUGCGUCGGCUGUGAAAACCCGGGGCUCAACUCCGGGCCUGCAGCCGAUACGGGCAGACUAGAGUUCGGCAGGGGAGACUGGAAUUCCUGGUGUAGUGGUGAAAUGCGUAGAGAUCGGGAGGAACACCCGUGGCGAAGGCGGCCUGCUGGGCCGAUCCUGACGCUGAGGCGCGAAGGCGUGGGGAGCGAACGGG